UACGUAGGGGGCAAGCGUUGUCCGGAUUUAUUGGGCGUAAAGCGCUCGCAGGUGGUUCGAUGCGUCGUGCGUGAAAGCCCCCGGCUCAACUGGGGAGUGUCGUGCGAUACGGUCGAACUGGAGGCCAGUAGGGGGAUGCGGAAUUCCGGGUGUAGUGGUGGAAUGCGUAGAGAUCCGGAGGAACACCAGCGGCGAAGGCGGCAUCCUGGACUGGUCCUGACACUCAUGAGCGAAAGCGUGGGGAGCGGUCCGG
Molecule: ribosomal RNA, 253 nt
Filed under: uncultured bacterium
Lineage: Bacteria
Description: partial 16S ribosomal RNA
Rfam family: Bacterial small subunit ribosomal RNA
Source: RNAcentral